CUGUAGUAACAUAGAGCUAAUACAUGCAAUAUAGUCUGACUUUUUGGAAGGACUAGCACUUAUUAGAUAUUAAACCAGUCCCAGCAAUGGGUUUUUGGUGAUUCAUAGUAACUGAACAAAUCACAUGGUCUUGUACCGGUGAUGUUUCAUUCAAAUUUCUGCCCUAUCAACUAGAUGGUAGUAUAUAGGACUACCAUGGUUGUAACGGGUAACGGAGGAUUAGGGUUUGAUUCCGGAGAAGGAGCAUGAGAAACGGCUACUAUUUCUAAGGAAAGCAGCAGGCGCGCAAAUUAUUCAAUGGAAACAAUUUUCCGAAAUAGUGACAAAAAAUAAUCAAUGCUGGAUACUAUGUAUUUAGUAAUUGGAAUGAGUACAAUUUAAAUUACCCUUAACAAGUAAACAAUUAGAGGGC
Molecule: ribosomal RNA, 412 nt
Filed under: uncultured eukaryote
Lineage: Eukaryota
Description: SSU rRNA
Rfam family: Eukaryotic small subunit ribosomal RNA
Source: RNAcentral